UACGGGAGGCAGCAGUGGGGAAUUUUGGACAAUGGGCGCAAGCCUGAUCCAGCAAUGCCGCGUGCAGGAUGAAGGCCUUCGGGUUGUAAACUGCUUUUGUACGGAACGAAAAAGUCUGCCCUAAUACGGUGGGCCCAUGACGGUACCGUAAGAAUAAGCACCGGCUAACUACGUGCCAGCAGCCGCGGUAAUACGUAGGGUGCGAGCGUUAAUCGGAAUUACUGGGCGUAAAGCGUGCGCAGGCGGUUAUAUAAGUCAGAUGUGAAAUCCCCGGGCUCAACCUGGGACCUGCAUUUGAGACUGUAUAGCUAGAGUACGGUAGAGGGGGAUGGAAUUCCGCGUGUAGCAGUGAAAUGCGUAGAUAUGCGGAGGAACACCGAUGGCGAAGGCAAUCCCCUGGACCUGUACUGACGCUCAUGCACGAAAGCGUGGGGAGCAAACAGGAUUAGAUACCCUGGUAGUCCACGCCCUAAACGAUGUCAACUGGUUGU
This 491-nucleotide ribosomal RNA is filed under the name beta proteobacterium enrichment culture clone LiUU-12-12. RNAcentral's name for it is "bacterial SSU rRNA". It matches the Rfam family "Bacterial small subunit ribosomal RNA", at positions 340 to 823 of the family's 1533-position model. The record is from RNAcentral. Lineage: Bacteria; Pseudomonadati; Pseudomonadota; Betaproteobacteria.